This 2758-nucleotide ribosomal RNA is filed under the name Salmonella enterica subsp. enterica. RNAcentral describes it as "bacterial LSU rRNA". It matches the Rfam family "Bacterial large subunit ribosomal RNA". The record is from RNAcentral. Lineage: Bacteria; Pseudomonadati; Pseudomonadota; Gammaproteobacteria; Enterobacterales; Enterobacteriaceae.
CGUGCUAAUCUGCGAUAAGCGCCGGUAAGGUGAUAUGAACCGUUAUAACCGGCGAUUUCCGAAUGGGGAAACCCAGUGUGACUCGUCACACUAUCAUUAACUGAAUCCAUAGGUUAAUGAGGCGAACCGGGGGAACUGAAACAUCUAAGUACCCCGAGGAAAAGAAAUCAACCGAGAUUCCCCCAGUAGCGGCGAGCGAACGGGGAGGAGCCCAGAGCCUGAAUCAGCAUGUGUGUUAGUGGAAGCGUCUGGAAAGGCGCGCGAUACAGGGUGACAGCCCCGUACACAAAAGCGCAUGUGCUGUGAGCUCGAUGAGUAGGGCGGGACACGUGGUAUCCUGUCUGAAUAUGGGGGGACCAUCCUCCAAGGCUAAAUACUCCUGACUGACCGAUAGUGAACCAGUACCGUGAGGGAAAGGCGAAAAGAACCCCGGCGAGGGGAGUGAAAAAGAACCUGAAACCGUGUACGUACAAGCAGUGGGAGCNNGGGCGUUAAGUUGCAGGGUAUAGACCCGAAACCCGGUGAUCUAGCCAUGGGCAGGUUGAAGGUUGGGUAACACUAACUGGAGGACCGAACCGACUAAUGUUGAAAAAUUAGCGGAUGACCUGUGGCUGGGGGUGAAAGGCCAAUCAAACCGGGAGAUAGCUGGUUCUCCCCGAAAGCUAUUUAGGUAGCGCCUCGUGAAUUCAUCUCCGGGGGUAGAGCACUGUUUCGGCUAGGGGGCCAUCCCGGCUUACCAACCCGAUGCAAACUGCGAAUACCGGAGAAUGUUAUCACGGGAGACACACGGCGGGUGCUAACGUCCGUCGUGAAGAGGGAAACAACCCAGACCGCCAGCUAAGGUCCCAAAGUCAUGGUUAAGUGGGAAACGAUGUGGGAAGGCCCAGACAGCCAGGAUGUUGGCUUAGAAGCAGCCAUCAUUUAAAGAAAGCGUAAUAGCUCACUGGUCGAGUCGGCCUGCGCGGAAGAUGUAACGGGGCUAAACCAUGCACCGAAGCUGCGGCAGCGACGCUGAUGCGUUGUUGGGUAGGGGAGCGUUCUGUAAGCCUGCGAAGGUGGCCUGUGAGGGUUGCUGGAGGUAUCAGAAGUGCGAAUGCUGACAUAAGUAACGAUAAAGCGGGUGAAAAGCCCGCUCGCCGGAAGACCAAGGGUUCCUGUCCAACGUUAAUCGGGGCAGGGUGAGUCGACCCCUAAGGCGAGGCCGAAAGGCGUAGUCGAUGGGAAACGGGUUAAUAUUCCCGUACUUGGUGUUACUGCGAAGGGGGGACGGAGAAGGCUAUGUUGGCCGGGCGACGGUUGUCCCGGUUUAAGCGUGUAGGUGUGUGUUCCAGGUAAAUCCGGUUCACUUUAACACUGAGGCGUGAUGACGAGGCACUACGGUGCUGAAGCAACAAAUGCCCUGCUUCCAGGAAAAGCCUCUAAGCAUCAGGUAACAUCAAAUCGUACCCCAAACCGACACAGGUGGUCAGGUAGAGAAUACCAAGGCGCUUGAGAGAACUCGGGUGAAGGAACUAGGCAAAAUGGUGCCGUAACUUCGGGAGAAGGCACGCUGACACGUAGGUGAAGUGAUUUACUCAUGGAGCUGAAGUCAGUCGAAGAUACCAGCUGGCUGCAACUGUUUAUUAAAAACACAGCACUGUGCAAACACGAAAGUGGACGUAUACGGUGUGACGCCUGCCCGGUGCCGGAAGGUUAAUUGAUGGGGUCAGCGCAAGCGAAGCUCCUGAUCGAAGCCCCGGUAAACGGCGGCCGUAACUAUAACGGUCCUAAGGUAGCGAAAUUCCUUGUCGGGUAAGUUCCGACCUGCACGAAUGGCGUAAUGAUGGCCAGGCUGUCUCCACCCGAGACUCAGUGAAAUUGAACUCGCUGUGAAGAUGCAGUGUACCCGCGGCAAGACGGAAAGACCCCGUGAACCUUUACUAUAGCUUGACACUGAACAUUGAGCCUUGAUGUGUAGGAUAGGUGGGAGGCUUUGAAGUGUGGACGCCAGUCUGCAUGGAGCCGGCCUUGAAAUACCACCCUUUAAUGUUUGAUGUUCUAACGUGGACCCGUGAUCCGGGUUGCGGACAGUGUCUGGUGGGUAGUUUGACUGGGGCGGUCUCCUCCUAAAGAGUAACGGAGGAGCACGAAGGUUGGCUAAUCCUGGUCGGACAUCAGGAGGUUAGUGCAAUGGCAUAAGCCAGCUUGACUGCGAGCGUGACGGCGCGAGCAGGUGCGAAAGCAGGUCAUAGUGAUCCGGUGGUUCUGAAUGGAAGGGCCAUCGCUCAACGGAUAAAAGGUACUCCGGGGAUAACAGGCUGAUACCGCCCAAGAGUUCAUAUCGACGGCGGUGUUUGGCACCUCGAUGUCGGCUCAUCACAUCCUGGGGCUGAAGUAGGUCCCAAGGGUAUGGCUGUUCGCCAUUUAAAGUGGUACGCGAGCUGGGUUUAGAACGUCGUGAGACAGUUCGGUCCCUAUCUGCCGUGGGCGCUGGAGAACUGAGGGGGGCUGCUCCUAGUACGAGAGGACCGGAGUGGACGCAUCACUGGUGUUCGGGUUGUCAUGCCAAUGGCACUGCCCGGUAGCUAAAUGCGGAAGAGAUAAGUGCUGAAAGCAUCUAAGCACGAAACUUGCCCCGAGAUGAGUUCUCCCUGAGACUUAGAGUCUCCUGAAGGAACGUUGAAGACGACGACGUUGAUAGGCCGGGUGUGUAAGCGCAGCGAUGCGUUGAGCUAACCGGUACUAAUGAACCGUGAGGCUUAACCUUACAACGCCGAAG